CGGGCAGGCUGUCUGUUAAGUCUUUUGUGAAAAUCCGGGGCUCAACCCCGUGAAACGCAGAUGAUACUGGCAGACUGGAGACCGGUAGAGGCUAGCGGAAUUCCUGGUGUAGCGGUGGAAUGCGUAGAUAUCAGGAAGAACACCUGUGGCGAAGGCGGCUAGCUGGGCCGGGUCUGACGCUCAUCCGCGAAAGCGUGGGGAGCAAACAGGAUUAGAUACCCUGGUAGUCC
Molecule: ribosomal RNA, 230 nt
Filed under: uncultured bacterium
Lineage: Bacteria
Description: partial 16S ribosomal RNA
Rfam family: Bacterial small subunit ribosomal RNA
Source: RNAcentral